Molecule: long non-coding RNA, 1843 nt
Organism: Oncorhynchus tshawytscha (Chinook salmon)
Lineage: Eukaryota; Metazoa; Chordata; Actinopteri; Salmoniformes; Salmonidae
Source: Ensembl
GCCAUGUAUGUAGAUCUCUGUGUUUCACUCUCGCUUUGUGUCUUAACCUCUCUUUUGUUUGAGCACCUCCAAAUCACUUUGUCAUCUCCUGUGAUGUGGAGGUAAACCCAGGCCCUGCAUGUCCCCAGGCACCCUCCUUUGUUGACUUCUGUGAUCGAAAAAGCCUUGGUUUCAUGCAUGUCAACAUCAGAAGCAUCCUCUAUCAUUUCACUCACUUUGUCCUCAGACUCCGGCCAGGUGUCAUGUGGAGAUUCUUCAAUUCCGUCCACAACCAUGUUGUUCCGCCUUGAUUGUCCCUCGAGGUUAUCUUGGAUUCACACACAGAACUUGCCGCUCUCCUGUUUCAACACAUCGAGCUGACCGUGGGAGAACUGCAAACUGUUCUUCAGGUCCUGGACCAUUUUUUUAUUAGCUGAAUCCAUCAGUAUUUGGACAAAACACUUGAAGGUAUUUUCUUGUUGUUGUAACAACUACUUGUAGAACUUUUUUUUCAUUUAAAAGAUCCUUCAUGUGUGAUAGAGCAGGUCACAAGAAAGAUUGAAAACAACAAACAGCAGGGAUCUAGACAGCCACAAACCCGGGACAAUAGUAGGGUCAUAGACCCCUACACUAAUUAUCUUUGAUCCUCAAAGUGAGUUUUCACUAUUCUACAGACCUAACUUGCUUACCACUUUUUCCAUGUAGCUUAUUCCUUCAAAGACUCCAUGAAAUGAUGACCUCUUCCUUAAUAUUUGGUCACAUUAUUAAUAUUGUUUCCUAGAAUCAAGGGGUGGCUCAACUAACCCCACGUCCCCUACUGUAGGAAACGACUUGUGAAAUUCACCUUACUCUACAGGUUGGAAGGCAAGGUUACUGGUUGUUGAUCUGUGUGGAAUGUCCAUACAGUGGUGCUACCAAGAGACUAGCACUUUGGGAUGAGGGAAAUGCAUGUGUGGGAGGAAAGUGACUGAAAUAGGUAAUGUCUCUCUCACAUCCACAACUGUUGUUUAAAGGCACACGUCAUCACAGAUAAUCUGUGUAGCGCCUGACAUGAAGCAACAGAGAGGUAUGAAAAGUGACACUAUUGAGAUAGAACUAGAAUAUAGGACUUUCCUGGAGACACCAUGAGCCAAUGUCUUUUCUGAGAGUGGUGCGAUGUACUAGCUAAUUGACAAAACUCAUAUACUGGUAAAUCAAUCAAAGGAUUUACUGCUGACUAUGACAUUUAUACAUCUUGCAUCAUCAACCUGGAGGGUUUUCACAGGUUAUAUUUCCAGAAUAUCUCAUGAAACAGAUUUUCUUCUAAUCUACUCUAAUCAUAAAGGUUACUUAUUUCAUCUACAUUUGUGGUACAUAUGAAACAAUGUAAGCAUCAAUACACAAAUGACUUGCCUACCUAUUAAGCCUCGAUUGAGCAGAACUGCGGCUAGAUGCAUUUCUUACGUUUUUAAUCAGCUAAUGAUUUUAAAAAUUCUAACUUACAAACCAGUUGGGAAUGUGUUUGCAUAAGUGAAGUUAACUAGCUAUCAGUUCAGUUGCCAUCUUGAGUCCCUAUAAACAGAUUGAAAAACAUAUUUGCUACAUUUGUCAUUGGCUGGCUAGCAAGUUCACCAGGAUUUAAAAAUAUUUCGGGCCUUCAUAAUUUAAACCUUCCUGUAUUCACAAUUAGUCAGUUUAGUUGUUCAUCUAAAGAGCUGAUCAAAUCAUUUGGAUGAGAUUGCUUGCUAGCCAGCUAGCAGCGAACAUUAGAUCGUUGUGUAAAUUGUUAGCUGGAUAGCUAGCUUGGCUAGUGGGCUGAUAAAAGAGAACAUGGCAUUGUAUGUUCAAAUUAUGGAAUAAAAAACUUAAUAAAGGAAUUUGUUGA